Molecule: long non-coding RNA, 889 nt
Organism: Tripterygium wilfordii
Lineage: Eukaryota; Viridiplantae; Streptophyta; Magnoliopsida; Celastrales; Celastraceae
Exons: 4
Source: RefSeq, a predicted model, not a curated record
CGUUACACCCUAACUACUUCCGCUUCAAUGUUUUCGUUUAUAUUGGAUUCUUCUUCGGGUAGUGGUGGUUGUUGCCGGCGGUCUCUGAUUCGCUUGGUGCAGCUCGGGAACUGAUUGGCCACUGACCAGUGUUUGUUUCUCUUAAGGAGGAUCGUUGUUCAAGGUUUUUGGUGACAUUAGGCUGGAGUGGCUUGUCGGUUCCCGCCUUGCAUCAACUGAAUCGGAGACCGCGAGCGGUGAAGGUUUCAUGGAUCUCUGCUGCUUCAUUGAUGUUUGUGUAUGCAGCGUGUUUAGAUCUCAGGUUUGGAGACUUCCGUCUUUAUGAUGAUUUGCAGCUCUGUCGCUAUUGCUUUGUAGAGGUGGAGAAUGUGUGAGCUUUUACGGGAAGGAAAAUCUAUUGGAGAACAUUUGGCAGCCAUGGAUUUGAGGUCUGCUUCCUUGCUUUGGGGAUUUUUUACUUGGAUGUAUUGCUCUAAAGUCAUUGAACUUAUGUGAAGACCAAGUUGAUGGGUUACCAUGGAAGAAGAGGUUAUGAAGCUAUAUAGUAUCAAAGUCGAGUAAUAACCAUGGGUAUGACAAAAAUUUGGAAGACCUAACUUUGUGGAGGAGGUGUCACGAUGAUGAUGUCGAGACCAGGUUUGUAUAAUUGCUGAAAAAAUAUCGUGUGCCCUGCCGACCAUGGCUUUCAGGUUUUUCUUUUUUCUUUUUAACUAAUCAUGUCAGACUGUCGGUAGCUAAAGGGUAUACCAUUUUUGACAAAAGUGGUUCAAAUUCUUGUGCAAUUUGCUGGGUGGUUCUUUGCUCAAAUUGUCAUCGCCUUGUUCCUUUUUUCUUUCUCUGUCUGUUCAAUCUAAGAUUCCCUUUGGCCUUUACGGUUCAAAUUGUCAAA